RNAcentral lists this transfer RNA (69 nucleotides) under Otolithes ruber. RNAcentral's name for it is "tRNA-Met". It matches the Rfam family "tRNA". From Rfam's summary of the family: Transfer RNA (tRNA) molecules are approximately 80 nucleotides in length. Their secondary structure includes four short double-helical elements and three loops (D, anti-codon, and T loops). Lineage: Eukaryota; Metazoa; Chordata; Actinopteri; Sciaenidae. The record is from RNAcentral.
AGUAAAGUCAGCUAAUUAAGCUCCUGGGCCCAUACCCCAGCAACGUAGGUUAAAACCCUUCCUUUAUUA